AGUGAACGCUGGCGGUAUGCCUAACACAUGCAAGUCGAACGGCAGCACCGUAAGAGCUUGCUCUUACGGGUGUCGAGUGGCGGACGGGUGAGGUAUACAUCGGAAUCUACUUUUUCGUGGGUGAUAACGUAGGGAAACUUACGCUAAUACCGCAUACGACCUACGGGUGAAAGCAGGGGAUCUUCGGACCUUGUGCUAUUGAAUGAGCCUAUGUCGGAUUAGCUAGUUGGCGGGGUAAAGGCCCACCAAGGCGACGAUCCGUAGCUGGUCUGAGAGGAUGAUCAGACACACUGGAACUGAGACACGGUAGAGACUCCUAAGGGAGGCAGCAGUGGGGAAUAUUGGACGAUGGGCGAAAGGCUGAUCCAGCCAUACCGCGUGGGUGAAGAAGGCGUUAGGGUUGUAAAGCCAUUUUGUUGGGAAAGAAAAGCAGCAGGUUAAUACCGCGCUGUAAUGACGGUACCGAAAGAAUAAGCACCGGCUAACUUCGUG
Molecule: ribosomal RNA, 492 nt
Filed under: uncultured bacterium
Lineage: Bacteria
Description: partial 16S ribosomal RNA
Rfam family: Bacterial small subunit ribosomal RNA
Source: RNAcentral